This 253-nucleotide ribosomal RNA is filed under the name uncultured bacterium. RNAcentral describes it as "partial 16S ribosomal RNA". It matches the Rfam family "Bacterial small subunit ribosomal RNA", at positions 524 to 776 of the family's 1533-position model. The record is from RNAcentral.
UACGUAGGGUGCGAGCGUUGUCCGGAAUUAUUGGGCGUAAAGGGCUCGUAGGCGGUCUGUCGCGUCGGGAGUGAAAACUCAGGGCUUAACCCUGAGCCUGCUUCCGAUACGGGCAGACUAGAGGUAUGCAGGGGAGAACGGAAUUCCUGGUGUAGCGGUGAAAUGCGCAGAUAUCAGGAGGAACACCAGUGGCGAAGGCGGUUCUCUGGGCAUUACCUGACGCUGAGGAGCGAAAGCAUGGGGAGCGAACAGG